Long non-coding RNA from Chelmon rostratus (copperband butterflyfish), 2587 nucleotides. RefSeq lists it as uncharacterized. The record is from RefSeq and is a predicted model, not a curated record. Lineage: Eukaryota; Metazoa; Chordata; Actinopteri; Chaetodontiformes; Chaetodontidae. The transcript is spliced from 4 exons.
AGAAGAAGAAGAAGAAGAAGAAGAAGAAGAAGAGGCAGAGGCAGCAAGUCAAUCAAUCAAUCACUCAAUCAAUCGAUCAAUCAAAUCAAAUUGUGAGAAAAUGCAGACUUUCAGCAGACGGGCUCUGGACCGGAUCUACUCUGUGGUGACGUUACAUUCAGCUUCCUGCUGAAACAUCGUUUUCUCUAACCGGAAACGUGCUCGGUCUAGCUAACCGCUAACGGUUAGCUAGCUGGCUUUAGCAAAAGUUUGCCGGUUUUGUAGUUAAUAUGAAUAAAAUAAAAGAACUCGAAGUAAAAUGAGUUGAGUCGAGUUAAAAAAAAGUUUCCGUGUUGGACGACGUGAUGAAUGGCAUUAGUUAGUUCGUGGUGGAGAGAAUAGCUAGCUACGUGCUGAGCUAAUCAUAGCAGACAGUAUUAGAGAGAGACUUUCAUAACGGACCUUCGGGGCUGCACAUCUUUGCCGUUAUGGGCUUAUUUAUCAAGAAAGUUGAUAUCAGUAUUGAUUGCUGUAAAAGACAGUUGAAGUUUGUAGCUCACACUGGGAGAAAAACGUAUUUUUAGCUCUUGAAAAGGAAGUUGUAAAGGUCUUCCACCCUCCUCAUCACAUGCUGUGGGUGUGUACCUGCGUACACAGGUAAAUCCGUCUGUCAGGUGCUCCCAGAGGCCUUCGUGUCCAUGUCAGACUAGUUGAUUAGCCCACUGAAAACACUCUUUAGCCUGUCAAAGCAGCAUUCAUGUCAUAGAGGAGCUGCUGCAGUUACCAGCCCGGCACUGCUCACCUGGAGGCAUCUCCAGAAAACAUGAUCCCUACCAGUGACUGGUGCUGUGAUGGAAACUUUUUCCACUCGGUGUCUUUUUCUAAAUGGAUAAAUAUAAUAAAGUCUGAAUCAGUAUCGUCCAGUCUGGUCCAAGAUCUCACUUUAAAGUUCUUAAAGCUGCAUUUGCACAAAUUACAACAAAAGCACGUUCUUAUGCCCUCGUCUAUUUCUCUCUGUCUCUCAGGUCUUGCUGGCUGUUGUGGUCUUGUCCUGGUCUUAUGUAAUCUACGCCAGCAGGAUCGCAUCUCAUUGGCUGCUGGAAAAGAGGACCGCCCUCCUCCAGCAAGACUGACAGCACAUUGGAGCGCCGAUGGGGGCCGACGGACUGUUCAAACCUUCCCGGGGUUCGGCUGUCUUGUGCUCUGAGAGCCACGUAGAGCCCGGAGCCGCUGAACCACGUCAGGAGUGGACCGAACCUGCCGGACCUCCAAAAGCUUCCCGCCAGCCAGCGUUCAGUGGAAACGAUGGGACCCCAAGUGUGUCUGCACCGGGGGAGGCCUGAGAUGUGACGCUCCGUCGGUGGAAAGGAUUUCUGGGUCCGGUAUCUGCCCUCAGUCUUUCUCUCGGUGCAGAUGAAGAUGAGAAGUUUCUGGGUUUUGAACUCAGCGAUGUGUGGCGGUCUGUGAGGCUCUACAGCCGCUCUGGGUUCAUAGUUAACAUCUUAUCUGCGCGUAAUAAACGCCUGAGAAGCCUGCGUGUUAUCUGUUGACUCUGAAUUCAUUAAUGAAACUGUUGGUCAACAGAAGAUGAAUCAGCAGCUGUUCGAUUCCUCCAUGAACGCUUGUGGCCGUUUUGGAAGGAAAACCUGUUUCAGCUUCUCGCCGGUGAACAUUUCAGUGUUUCUGUCUCUGUGGAAUCAAACAGAUCGUUUUGGGUUUGUGCUGCAGUUUGAACACGUCACACAAGUUCUGGGAAAAUCUUUGUCACUUCGUUUUAUUUAUUUUUAUAUCUGUGUUUCAUUCUGAUCAUUUUAUCACUUUGAUAUUAAAGAGGUUUUUUUCAUUUCAUCAGAGUCCAAACACUUUAUUAUCCUGUGUGUGUGUGUGUGUGUGCGCGCGCGCGCGUGUGUGCGUGUGUCUGAUGUAUUCAGUAACUAAAAGCCCUCAAACACACACACAGCUGUGUUUGAUGAUGAGGAGACACUUUGAUGUGUGUGUGUGUGUCCUCAGAUAUGUAAAUGUUGUCAACAGAAUGGGUGGAUGAGAGAGGGCGAGCGAGCUGAACCGUGAAUGAGGGAUGGAGAGAGAGAGAGACUCUUUAGAAGAGAUCCAGCCGAGAUGAUUUCUGUCAUCAAACAAUUCCCAUCAAUACUUUAACAGUAAUGUUGUGAGCUAACAGCUAAAAGUCAGUUCAGCACAGACCGGAUACAGACCCUCGGCAGACCCUCGGCAGAUACAGACGCUCUAAUUAAAGACGCUGUGGAGGCCUGGAGCAGCCAGAUGUUCUCAAUGUUUGUGUUGGUCAGUGGAUUUUUUAGAUGACAUCUCACCACGACUGGAUGAAGUUCAGAUCCCUCUGAAUGAAAACUCAAACACCCUCCGAGUGUCUGAUAUUCAGAAGACGAGUCCACAGCCAGGCUGGACACAGCGUUGGUGACAUUCACAAGUUCGCGUCUGACUGGAAGAAACUUCUGUUACAUGAACAGCGACUACAAACACCAGAGACGCUUUUCGACUUGUAUAAAUGUCAAACAGCCAAAGUCACAUUGUACGGAGCCCCUAAAGCAGUGGCCCCCAACCUUUUCUGUACCAUGGCCCGGUUUAAUGU